RNAcentral lists this transfer RNA (73 nucleotides) under Canis lupus familiaris (dog). It matches the Rfam family "tRNA". From Rfam's summary of the family: Transfer RNA (tRNA) molecules are approximately 80 nucleotides in length. Their secondary structure includes four short double-helical elements and three loops (D, anti-codon, and T loops). The record is from Rfam by way of RNAcentral. RNAcentral also lists the same sequence under 1 other name. Lineage: Eukaryota; Metazoa; Chordata; Mammalia; Carnivora; Canidae.
ACCUGGCUGGCUCAGUUGGUAGAGUAUUAGACUCUUGAUCUCAAGAUCAAGAGUUCGAUCCCUAUUUUGGGUG